RNAcentral lists this ribosomal RNA (427 nucleotides) under Ixodes scapularis (black-legged tick). RNAcentral's name for it is "partial 12S ribosomal RNA". The record is from RNAcentral. Lineage: Eukaryota; Metazoa; Arthropoda; Arachnida; Ixodida; Ixodidae.
UAAAAAAUUUUGGCGGUAUUUUAAGCUUAUUAGAGGAAUUUGCUCUGUGAUGGACACAACGCCUUAAUCUUACUUAAUUUAGUAAUUUAAAUCAGUUUGUAUACCACUAUAUUAAUUAUAUUGAAUAGUUAUAUUUAAAAUUUUUUCAAAAAAAAUAUAUUAAGUCAUGGUGCAUCUAAUAAUUAUGAAUGAAGUGAAUUACAUUAAUUUUAAUGUAAUUUUUUACAUGAAAAAAUUAAUUAGGAUUUAAUAGUAAAAUACUAAUAUUAUGAGUAUUUGAAUCAAGCUCUAAAAUAUGCACAUAUCGCCCGUCGCUCUCAGAAGUGAGAUAAGUCGUAACAAAGUAAAAAUACUGGAAAGUGUUUUUUAAAAUGAAAUCAUUUGAUGUUUCAUUUACAAUGAAAAUUUUGUUGUUUAACCAUUUUAA